AUUGAACGCUGGCGGCAGGCCUAACACAUGCAAGUCGAGCGGAUGAAGGGAGCUUGCUCCUGGAUUCAGCGGCGGACGGGUGAGUAAUGCCUAGGAAUCUGCCUGGUAGUGGGGGAUAACGUCCGUAAACGGGCGCUAAUACCGCAUACGUCCUGAGGUAGAAAGUGGGGGUUCUUCGGACCUCCCGCUAUCAGAUGAUCCUAGGUCGGAUUAGCUAGUUGGUGGGGUAAAGGCCUACCAAGGCGACGAUCCGUAACUGGUCUGAGAGGAUGAUCAGUAACACUGGAACUGAGACACGGUACAGACUCCUACGGGAGGCAGCAGUGGGGAAUAUUGGACAAUGGGCGAAAGCCUGAUACAGCAAUGCCGCGUGUGUGAAGAAGGUCUUCGGAUUGUAAAGAACUUUAAGUUGGGAGGAAGGGAAGUAAGUUAAUACCUUGCUGUUUUGACGUUAACAACAGAAUAAGCACCGGCUAACUUCGUG
This 484-nucleotide ribosomal RNA is filed under the name uncultured bacterium. RNAcentral describes it as "partial 16S ribosomal RNA". It matches the Rfam family "Bacterial small subunit ribosomal RNA", at positions 30 to 507 of the family's 1533-position model. The record is from RNAcentral.